GAGAGAGAGAGUUAUUCACUAAAGUAAAACUUCAAAAUUAAUUUAACAUUUAAGGUGAAAAUAGUUGAACUAGAAUAAUUAUUUUAAGCAGCCAUGCUUUCACUUCAACUCAGCUACUUUGGUCUUAAAUUUGAAAUUCACUUCAUUUCAAGUGGACAAAGAGGGACGCUUUAAUUGUAGGGGUGUGUAGCCAGGACAAGGGAUGUUCUGAAAAUUUUAG
This is a non-coding RNA of Pelobates cultripes (western spadefoot toad), 220 nucleotides long. The record is from the annotation of a GenBank genome assembly. Lineage: Eukaryota; Metazoa; Chordata; Amphibia; Anura; Pelobatidae.